GGGCAUUUGGUCUAGUGGUAUGAUUCAUGCUUUGAGUGCGAGAGGUCCCAAAUUCAAUUUUCGGAAUGACCC
This is a non-coding RNA of Solanum lycopersicum (tomato), 72 nucleotides long. Lineage: Eukaryota; Viridiplantae; Streptophyta; Magnoliopsida; Solanales; Solanaceae. The record is from Rfam.